AUACCUAGCUGGAUGGGUUCAAAGGGUGAUCAAGAAGGUUCAUGGCCUAGGUGACCUCCAUUGCACCUGGGAGGGGCACCUGCCUAACAUCUCCCCAUGUGGAAAAGUGUAUGUCAUAAUUUGUUGUUAAUCCUUGAAAGCUCCUCGAGCUGGAGCAC
This is a small nuclear RNA of Telopea speciosissima, 158 nucleotides long. RefSeq annotates it as U1 spliceosomal RNA. The transcript has a single exon. Lineage: Eukaryota; Viridiplantae; Streptophyta; Magnoliopsida; Proteales; Proteaceae. The record is from RefSeq and is a predicted model, not a curated record.